RNAcentral lists this ribosomal RNA (253 nucleotides) under uncultured bacterium. Its description in RNAcentral is "partial 16S ribosomal RNA". It matches the Rfam family "Bacterial small subunit ribosomal RNA", at positions 524 to 776 of the family's 1533-position model. The record is from RNAcentral.
UACGGAGGGGGCUAGCGUUGUUCGGAAUUACUGGGCGUAAAGCGCACGUAGGCGGCUUUGUAAGUCAGAGGUGAAAGCCCGGAGCUUAACUCCGGAAUAGCCUUUGAGACUGCAUCGCUUGAAUCCGGGAGAGGUGAGUGGAAUUCCGAGUGUAGAGGUGAAAUUCGUAGAUAUUCGGAAGAACACCAGUGGCGAAGGCGGCUCACUGGACCGGUAUUGACGCUGAGGUGCGAAAGCGUGGGGAGCAAACAGG